AAAAUACAAUAAACAAUUCAACUUUUUUAAAUCUCACAACAAAAAUUAUAUUAACAAAAUUUUUGUGAGGUGUAUUGUUUAUUAAGUUAUGUGAAAGUAGAUAAGUAAGUUUUGAAUAUUUUUCUCUAAUAUGUUUUAUAUUUUAUUAGGGUUUGUGAAAAUGGAUAAAUAAGAGUUGAAAUCUUGGAAAAUGAUUGGACUAUUGUUGAAAUGUGACUUUUUUUCUAGAUUGAAAGAUGAUUUGAUUGAGGUUGAAUUUAAAAAAAAAAAAAAAAAAAAAAAAAAAAAAAAAAAAAAAAACUAACCAAGCAUGGCCUUAAGGCCCCUUUGAG
Molecule: long non-coding RNA, 332 nt
Organism: Juglans microcarpa x Juglans regia
Lineage: Eukaryota; Viridiplantae; Streptophyta; Magnoliopsida; Fagales; Juglandaceae
Exons: 2
Source: RefSeq, a predicted model, not a curated record